GCUGGGGUUGUGGCUCAGUGGUAGAGUGCUUGCUUUGCACAUAUGAGGCACUGGGUUUGAUCUUCAAUACCACAUAAAAAUAAAUAAACAAAAUAAAGAUAUUGUGUCCAUGUAUAACUAAAAAAAUAUGAAAAUAUAUAUAUAUUUGUUAGAGCCAGAUGUGAUGGCACACGCUUAUAAUCCCAGCAACUUGGGAGGCUAAGGCAGGAAGAUCACAAGUUCAAAGCCAGUCUCAGCA
This 238-nucleotide transfer RNA is filed under the name Marmota monax (woodchuck). Its description in RNAcentral is "tRNA.Ala". Lineage: Eukaryota; Metazoa; Chordata; Mammalia; Rodentia; Sciuridae. The record is from RNAcentral.